This 625-nucleotide ribosomal RNA is filed under the name uncultured Lachnospiraceae bacterium. Its description in RNAcentral is "bacterial SSU rRNA". It matches the Rfam family "Bacterial small subunit ribosomal RNA", at positions 93 to 734 of the family's 1533-position model. The record is from RNAcentral. Lineage: Bacteria; Bacillati; Bacillota; Clostridia; Lachnospirales; Lachnospiraceae.
GAGUGGCGGACGGGUGAGUAACGCGUGGGUAACCUGCCCUGUACAGGGGGAUAACAGUCAGAAAUGACUGCUAAUACCGCAUAAGCCCACGGCUCGGCAUCGAGCAGAGGGAAAAGGAGUGAUCCGCUUUGAGAUGGCCUCGCGUCCGAUUAGCUAGUUGGUGAGGUAACGGCCCACCAAGGCGACGAUCGGUAGCCGGACUGAGAGGUUGAACGGCCACAUUGGGACUGAGACACGGCCCAGACUCCUACGGGAGGCAGCAGUGGGGAAUAUUGCACAAUGGGGGAAACCCUGAUGCAGCGACGCCGCGUGGAGGAAGAAGGUCUUCGGAUUGUAAACUCCUGUUGUUGAGGAAGAUAAUGACGGUACUCAACAAGGAAGUGACGGCUAACUACGUGCCAGCAGCCGCGGUAAAACGUAGGUCACAAGCGUUGUCCGGAAUUACUGGGUGUAAAGGGAGCGCAGGCGGGAGAACAAGUUGGAAGUGAAAUCCAUGGGCUCAACCCAUGAACUGCUUUCAAAACUGUUUUUCUUGAGUAGUGCAGAGGUAGGCGGAAUUCCCGGUGUAGCGGUGGAAUGCGUAGAUAUCGGGAGGAACACCAGUGGCGAAGGCGGCCUACUGGGC